GUAGGUGGCAAGCGUUAUCCGGAAUCAUUGGGCGUAAAGGGUGCGUAGGUGGCGUACUAAGUCUGUAGUAAAAGGCAAUGGCUCAACCAUUGUAAGCUAUGGAAACUGGUAUGCUGGAGUGCAGAAGAGGGCGAUGGAAUUCCAUGUGUAGCGGUAAAAUGCGUAGAUAUAUGGAGGAACACCAGUGGCGAAGGCGGUCGCCUGGUCUGUAACUGACACCGAGGCACGAAAGCGUGGGGAGCAAAUAGGAUUAGAUACCCUAGUAGUCCACGCCGUAAACGAUGAGAACUAAGUGUUGGAGANAUUCAGUGCUGCAGUUAACGCAAUAAGUUCUCCGCCUGGGAAGU
RNAcentral lists this ribosomal RNA (347 nucleotides) under uncultured bacterium. Its description in RNAcentral is "bacterial SSU rRNA". It matches the Rfam family "Bacterial small subunit ribosomal RNA", at positions 527 to 881 of the family's 1533-position model. The record is from RNAcentral.